AGAUGUGACCACCCAGAGCAAUGUGACUACGAGGUCCAGAAGGUUCUAAAAUUCCACCAAUGGAAAAGUCUCAAAAUGCUUUAACUGUUGGUCCAUCAUUACGACUUCAAGGAUUAAACGAUGUUGGUCUACAUGGAAAGG
This is a long non-coding RNA of Eucalyptus grandis, 141 nucleotides long. RefSeq lists it as uncharacterized. Lineage: Eukaryota; Viridiplantae; Streptophyta; Magnoliopsida; Myrtales; Myrtaceae. The record is from RefSeq and is a predicted model, not a curated record. The transcript has 3 exons.